RNAcentral lists this unclassified non-coding RNA (438 nucleotides) under Hevea brasiliensis (rubber tree). The record is from RNAcentral. Lineage: Eukaryota; Viridiplantae; Streptophyta; Magnoliopsida; Malpighiales; Euphorbiaceae.
AAAGAAACCAGUUCCAAUAUAUGUCAUUCUGGAGGAACUUAUUAGCCACAAUACUUAGGAGAGUUAACUAAUUAGCCGCAAUGCUCAGGAGUAAACUAAACAUUCGCAACACAAACUUGCAGAAAGGACCUCAUCAACCCACAACCUUCCGAGAAUUACUUCUGCUAGGAACCUCGUACGAACGCCCAAGAUAGUCAGUCUGCCUGUGCCAUCCUCCCGCCUUCAUCGAAGGGGGUGACGGCCUUCCAGGGGGCGGUGCUCCAGUGUUCACCGUCAUCUUCGACAGCUUCUCAGCCACAUCUGAGACUUUACCUGCAGUGCCUACACUAGUUGUCACAUCCGCCACACUCCGCAUAUUUCUAUUCAUGUAUCCCGGAUUGUUGUUUCGAACAGGAGGCCGGUAAGGAGUUUGUUUUAUGUUGUUGAUAUUGUUCUUAA